Molecule: ribosomal RNA, 551 nt
Filed under: uncultured bacterium
Lineage: Bacteria
Description: bacterial SSU rRNA
Rfam family: Bacterial small subunit ribosomal RNA
Source: RNAcentral
CGCGUGAGCAACCUGGCCUUCAGAGGGGGAUAACGUCUGGAAACGGACGCUAAUACCGCAUGACAUGGCGGAGUCGCAUGGCUCUGUCAUCAAAGGAGUAAUCCGCUGAAGGAUGGGCUCGCGUCCGAUUAGGUAGUUGGUGAGGUAACGGCUCACCAAGCCCGCGAUCGGUAGCCGGACUGAGAGGUUGGCCGGCCACAUUGGGACUGAGACACGGCCCAGACUCCUACGGGAGGCAGCAGUGGGGGAUAUUGCACAAUGGAGGAAACUCUGAUGCAGCGACGCCGCGUGAGGGAAGAAGGUCUUCGGAUUGUAAACCUCUGUCUUCGGGGACGAACAAAUGACGGUACCCGAGGAGGAAGCCACGGCUAACUACGUGCCAGCAGCCGCGGUAAUACGUAGGUGGCAAGCGUUGUCCGGAAUUACUGGGUGUAAAGGGUGCGCAGGCGGGGCGGCAAGUUGGAUGUGAAAACUCCGGGCUCAACCCGGAGCCUGCAUUCAAAACUGUCGCUCUUGAGUGAAGUAGAGGCAGGCGGAAUUCCCGGUGUAGC